ACGCCUGCAACCACAAGUUGUCACCAGAUAAUCACGGCAGCUGUUGGUCAGACUGGCACAAUAACUUCCCCUCCAGCAGAAAAAUACUGCGAAUACCGAAUCCAGGCUCCUUCUGGAAGUCGCGUGCAGGUCGACGAAGUUACAUCUAGGAUUCGAGGGACAAGGAACUGUGCAAUUGACUGGCUUCUGCUGAACGGGAGGAGUGAGAGGAUGUACCCGCCAGACACCAGCUUAAUUAUCUGCGGCAAGAGGGUAGUGUCUUCACCUCUGACAUCCGAGACCAAUGAGAUGUACGCAGCUUAUCAAGGCACCAGGAGGAGAAGCCGCGGUGUCACUAUCAAGUAUACCAUCAUCUAGUAAGUCAAACGUUCUUUGAUUUUCUCGCUCACUCCGUGGACGAUGCAAUCACUACUCCAAUGUAUCUGUACGGGCACAAAUUCAUUAUUACACCUGCAACCCUUUCAGUUUACCUCUUGCCCACGAUGUUUCUUUGUUUAAAAUCAUAUCACUGGUAAGCCAAGUCAGCUGAUAAAACUUAAACGAGGAAUAGUAGCAUCCUUAUAGUGUUCUACAAUAACCGCCCCAAGAAAAUAAAUAUAUGCAGCAG
Molecule: long non-coding RNA, 607 nt
Organism: Eriocheir sinensis (Chinese mitten crab)
Lineage: Eukaryota; Metazoa; Arthropoda; Malacostraca; Decapoda; Varunidae
Exons: 3
Source: RefSeq, a predicted model, not a curated record